CACGCCGUAAACGUUGUAUACUAGGUGUUAGUGGCUUGUCUACUAGUGCCGCAGCAAACGCAUUAAGUAUACCACCUGGGGAGUACGCCCGCAAGGGUGAAACUCAAAGAAAUUGACGGGGGCCCGCACAAGCGGUGGAGCAUGUGGUUUAAUUCGAUGAUACGCGAAGAACCUUACCUGGGCUUGAACUGUGCAUGACAGGUGUAGAAAUACGCUCUCCCUUCGGGGCAUGUACAGAGGUGC
This 243-nucleotide ribosomal RNA is filed under the name uncultured bacterium. RNAcentral's name for it is "partial 16S ribosomal RNA". It matches the Rfam family "Bacterial small subunit ribosomal RNA", at positions 796 to 1041 of the family's 1533-position model. The record is from RNAcentral.